GAUGAACGCUGGCGGCGUGCUUAACACAUGCAAGUCGAACGGAAAGGCUCCUGCUUGCAGGGGUACUCGAGUGGCGAACGGGUGAGUAACACGUGGGUGAUCUGCCCUGCACUUCGGGAUAAGCCUGGGAAGCUGGGUCUAAUACCGGAUAGGACGAUGGUCUGGAUGCCAUUGUGGAAAGUUUUUCGGUGUGGGAUGAGCUCGCGGCCUAUCAGCUUGUUGGUGGGGUAAUGGCCUACCAAGGCGUCGACGGGUAGCCGGCCUGAGAGGGUGUACGGCCACAUUGGGACUGAGAUACGGCCCAGACUCCUACGGGAGGCAGCAGUGGGGAAUAUUGCACAAUGGGCGCAAGCCUGAUGCAGCGACGCCGCGUGGGGGAUGACGGCCUUCGGGUUGUAAACUCCUUUCGCUAGGGACGAAGCGCAAGUGACGGUACCUGGAGAAGAAGCACUGGCUAACUACGUG
Molecule: ribosomal RNA, 465 nt
Filed under: uncultured bacterium
Lineage: Bacteria
Description: partial 16S ribosomal RNA
Rfam family: Bacterial small subunit ribosomal RNA
Source: RNAcentral